CCUACGGGUGGCAGCAGUGAGGAAUAUUGGUCAGUGGGCGAGAGCCUGAACCAGCCAAGCCGCGUGAAGGAUGACGGCCCUACGGGUUGUAAACUUCUUUUGUCAGGGAGCAAUUGAGUCCACGUGUGGUCUUAGCGAGAGUACCUGAAGAAAAAGCAUCGGCUAACUCCGUGCCAGCAGCCGCGGUAAUACGGGGGAUGCGAGCGUUAUCCGGAUUUAUUGGGUUUAAAGGGUGCGUAGCCGGAAUAUGAAGUCAGCGGUAACAAUUCGGGGCUCAACCCCGUCGUGCCGUUGAAACUGAUGGUCUUGAGUGGGCGAGAAGUAUGCGGAAUGCGUGGUGUAGCGGUGAAAUGCAUAGAUAUCACGCAGAACUCCGAUUGCGAAGGCAGCAUACCGGCGCCCAACUGACGCUGAGGCACGAAAGCGUGGGUAUCGAACAGGAUUAGAUACCCGAGUAGUC
This 460-nucleotide ribosomal RNA is filed under the name uncultured bacterium. RNAcentral describes it as "partial 16S ribosomal RNA". It matches the Rfam family "Bacterial small subunit ribosomal RNA", at positions 338 to 795 of the family's 1533-position model. The record is from RNAcentral.